CUUAAAAAGUUCUAAGGGCACAAAGGUUUGGUCCUGGCCUUAUUGUCAAUUAUCUCCUAACUUACACAUGCAAGUCUCAGCACCCCCGUGAGGACGCCCUUCACCCACUUAUUUGGAUAAGGAGCCGGUAUCAGGCACAACCAAUUUGCCCACAACACCUAGUCUCACCACACCCCCAAGGGUACUCAGCAGUGAUAAAUAUUGUCUAUGAGCGCUAGCUCGACUCAGUUAUGGAGAAGAGAGCCGGCCAACAAUGGUGCCAGCCGCCGCGGCUAAACCAAUGGGCUCAAAUUGAUUAUAUUCGGCGUUAAGCGUGAUUAAAGCCGACCCAAUAAUUAGAGUAAAACCUUAGUCUCAAGCCGUGAAAAGCGUACAACAGGGAGCCCCAAAAACGAAAGUUACUCUAAUCUCUGCUUGAACACACGACAGCUAGGAAACAAACUGGGAUUAG
RNAcentral lists this ribosomal RNA (451 nucleotides) under Phrynoderma hexadactylum (Indian five-fingered frog). RNAcentral describes it as "partial 12S rRNA". Lineage: Eukaryota; Metazoa; Chordata; Amphibia; Anura; Dicroglossidae. The record is from RNAcentral.